Molecule: ribosomal RNA, 1385 nt
Filed under: uncultured bacterium
Lineage: Bacteria
Description: 16S ribosomal RNA
Rfam family: Bacterial small subunit ribosomal RNA
Source: RNAcentral
UAGUGGCGGACGGGUGAGUAACGCGUGAGUAAUCUGUCUUUAUCUGGGGGAUAACAGUUGGAAACGACUGCUAAUACCGCAUAAGACCUCAACUACGAAGGUAGAAGGGGUAAAAGAUUUAUCGGAUAGAGGUGAGCUUGCGUUUCAUUAGUUAGUUGGUGGGGUAAUGGCCUACCAAGACGACGAUGGAUAGCCGAUCUGAGAGGAUGACCGGCCACACUGGAACUGAGAUACGGUCCAGACUCCUACGGGAGGCAGCAGUUGGGAAUAUUGGGCAAUGGAGGAAACUCUGACCCAGCAACGCCGCGUGAAGGAAGAAGGUUUUCGGAUUGUAAACUUCUGUAAUAGAGGAAGAAGAAAGUGACGGUACUCUAUUAGAAAGCUACGGCAAACUACGUGCCAGCAGCCGCGGUAAGACGUAGGUAGCAAGCGUUGUCCGGAAUAACUGGGCGUAAAGGGAGCGUAGGCGGUUAGAUAAGUCUGGUGUGAAAGUCUGUGGCUUAACCAUAGAAUUGCAUUAGAUACUGUUUGACUGGAGUACGGAAGAGGUAAACGGAAUUACUAGUGUAGCGGUGGAAUGCGUAGAUAUUAGUAGGAAGACCGGAGGCGAAGGCGGUUUACUGGGACGAUACUGACGCUGAGGCUCGAAAGCGUGGGGAGCAAACAGGAUUAGAUACCCUGGUAGUCCACGCCCUAAACGAUGGAUACUAAACAAAGGUGGUAUCGACACCAUCUGUGUUGCAGCAAACGCGAUAAGUAUCCCACCUGGGGAGUACGAACGCAAGUUUAAAACUCAAAGGAAUUGACGGGGACCCGCACAAGCAGCGGAGCAUGUGGUUUAAUUCGAAGCAACGCGAAGAACCUUACCAAGGCUUGACAUAGGAUGCAUAGGUAAGAAAUUACUGAAGUUAUAGCAAUAUAACAUCCAUACAGAUGGUGCAUGGUUGUCGUCAGCUCGUGUCGUGAGAUGUUGGGUUAAGUCCCGCAACGAGCGCAACCCUUGCCAUUAGUUGCUAACAUUAAGUUGAGGACUCUAAUGGGACAGCCGUAGAUAAUACGGAGGAAGAUGGGGAUGAUGUCAAAUCAUCAUGCCUCUUACGCCUUGGGCUACACACGUGCUACAAUGGGGGAUACAAAGUGAAGCGAGAUAGUAAUAUAGAGCAAAACACAAAAAGUCCUCCUCAAUUCAGACUGUGGGCUGAAACCCGCCCACACGAAGACGGAGUUGCUAGUAAUCCCGAAUCAGAAUGUCGGGGUGAAUGCGUUCCCGGGUCUUGUACACACUGCCCGUCAAGCCAUGGAAGCUGGGGGUGCCUGAAGUCGGUGACCGCAAGGAGCUGCCUAGGGUAAAACUGGUGACUAGGGCUAAGUCGUACAAGGUAACC